Herpailurus yagouaroundi (jaguarundi) is the source of this 502-nucleotide long non-coding RNA. RefSeq lists it as uncharacterized. The record is from RefSeq and is a predicted model, not a curated record. NCBI's taxonomy places the organism in Eukaryota, Metazoa, Chordata, Mammalia, Carnivora, Felidae. The transcript has 2 exons.
ACCUGGACCUCCUCCGUGCUUUUGGGGGAACACCGCUCGAGCAUCGAGCCCUGGGUCACCUGUCAGGGGCUUUGCCAGGACCCAGCUGGCUUUGCCGCCCAUCCCACGGAGGACCCUGGGGGUCCCCUUCAUGGGAUCAGCAAUCUUUCCAGCCGGCACAGCUGUGCACCCGGGGCACCUCUCCCUACUUUGGGGGGCUCUAAUGUCCAGACGCUGCCCCCAGGCUGUACCGCUUCCCAGAUGGGGCGUGGCUCUUGUCCGGACCCGUGGCCCUGAGUAAAAUGCGCCUCUGCUGUGAGCACGGUGAACAAUGAAUGAUCAGUCCACCCAUUGACCUGGUUUCUGAGACACCCCUUCUGGAGACCUCUGCCUGCCGGCUGCCCCUGCUGCCAGCCCCACCCUCCUCUGCCGUCAUCCUGGGAGCCCCUCCUCUCUCCUGGGCUAGAUUCCUCCCACAUCUUCCUCUUUUCUUUUUUUGGAAAAAAAAGAAGCCAAAAUUUUA